RNAcentral lists this unclassified non-coding RNA (353 nucleotides) under soil metagenome. RNAcentral describes it as "partial contains 5.8S ribosomal RNA, internal transcribed spacer 2, and large subunit ribosomal RNA". The stretch from base 1 to 120 matches the Rfam family "5.8S ribosomal RNA", at positions 35 to 154 of the family's 154-position model. The record is from RNAcentral.
GAUGAAGAACGUAGCGAAAUGCGAUAAGUAAUGUGAAUUGCAGAAUUCAGUGAAUCAUCGAAUCUUUGAACGCACAUUGCGCCCGCCAGUAUUCUGGCGGGCAUGCCUGUUCGAGCGUCAUUACAACCCUCAGGCCCCCGGGCCUGGCGUUGGGGAUCGGCGGAAGCCCCCUGCGGGCACAACGCCGUCCCCCAAAUACAGUGGCGGUCCCGCCGCAGCUUCCAUUGCGUAGUAGCUAACACCUCGCAACUGGAGAGCGGCGCGGCCACGCCGUAAAACACCCAACUUCUGAAUGUUGACCUCGAAUCAGGUAGGAAUACCCGCUGAACUUAGGCAUAUCAAUAAGCGGAGGA